Molecule: ribosomal RNA, 121 nt
Filed under: Kitasatospora sp. SolWspMP-SS2h
Lineage: Bacteria; Bacillati; Actinomycetota; Actinomycetes; Kitasatosporales; Streptomycetaceae
Description: partial 23S ribosomal RNA
Rfam family: Bacterial large subunit ribosomal RNA
Source: RNAcentral
UGAGCACUCCCACCUCCUUGAGAGGGUAAGGCUCCCAGUAGACGACUGGGUUGAUAGGCCGGAUAUGGAAGCCCUGUGAGGGGUGGAGUUGACCGGUACUAAUAGGCCGAGGGCUUGUCCU